GUGACUUGCUGCCACAUAACAGGACAAGAGACAGUUCAUUGAGAAUCAAGCGACUGAUACUUCCAUCUCUAGAUGAUCCACUCCGUGACUUAGUGAAGGCUGCUGUUUGCCACUGAGAAAACCCAGCCAAUGGUUGCAGAGAAGUGGAUUAUAUCAAAGGGGUAUUGCACAGCGCCAGAGCACAUGUUCCCAGGGAGCUCUUAGUGUGUGUAUGUCAUGAGGAUGGAAGUACUACUCAGUGCAGAGUCUGUCUUAACACCGGGAAUGUCAUGUGUGAAGACCUGGAACCUCUGGGAUUGGCAGGGAACUUGUCUGCCAGUUGGUUUGAUGUUACUGUGUAACAUGCCACGGGAACAGCCUCAUACCCGGCAGCCUUCUCAUCCAGGAACCCAGCAGAAGGAUAUUGCCCCACAUCUUGGC
This is a long non-coding RNA of Mus musculus (house mouse), 420 nucleotides long. RefSeq annotates it as predicted gene, 36873. The transcript is spliced from 4 exons. The record is from RefSeq and is a predicted model, not a curated record. NCBI's taxonomy places the organism in Eukaryota, Metazoa, Chordata, Mammalia, Rodentia, Muridae.